UACGUAGGGGGCAAGCGUUGUCCGGAAUCAUUGGGCGUAAAGCGCGCGUAGGUGGCCCAGUAAGUCCGCUCUGAAAGUCAAAGGCUCAACCUUUGAAAGCGGGUGGAUACUGCUGGGCUAGAGUCCGGAAGAGGCGAGUGGAAUUCCUGGUGUAGCGGUGGAAUGCGCAGAUAUCAGGAGGAACACCAACGGCGAAGGCAGCUCGCUGGGACGGUACUGACACUAAGGCGCGAAGGCGUGGGGAGCGAACAGG
This 253-nucleotide ribosomal RNA is filed under the name uncultured bacterium. RNAcentral describes it as "partial 16S ribosomal RNA". It matches the Rfam family "Bacterial small subunit ribosomal RNA", at positions 524 to 776 of the family's 1533-position model. The record is from RNAcentral.